Molecule: long non-coding RNA, 160 nt
Organism: Sphaeramia orbicularis (orbiculate cardinalfish)
Lineage: Eukaryota; Metazoa; Chordata; Actinopteri; Kurtiformes; Apogonidae
Exons: 3
Source: RefSeq, a predicted model, not a curated record
AGAAAUGGACUGGAACACGUAAACCAGGGUUUUUCCAUUAUCACAUUUCUGAAGUGAAUGUAAACGCGUCGCAUCUGAUUACAGCAAUUAUCAGAUUACUCCCAGUUAUCAGAUUUUUAUGGUCAUGUAAACGGACUGAGUAAAAUGUCUUGUUUGGUUG